UGCCACAGCCAUAUCACCCUGCAGCCCAAGACUGGUUGCCCACUGAAGCUAAGCAGGGUUGAGCCUGGUCAGUACCUAGAUGGGAGACCUCCUAUGAAAACUAGGUUGCUGCUGGAA
This 117-nucleotide ribosomal RNA is filed under the name Sinocyclocheilus anshuiensis. Lineage: Eukaryota; Metazoa; Chordata; Actinopteri; Cypriniformes; Cyprinidae. The record is from RNAcentral.